AUCCUGUAGCACUAAUUGCAGGUGUUGCCUGCCCUAUGCGCGGUAAAUGGCCGCAGAACUUUAACUGUGCUAAGGUAGCAUAAUCAUUUGUCUUUUAAAUGGGGACUGUAUGAAUGGCUUAAUGGGAUAAUGCUGUCUUAAUAAAGUUUCAUAGAAAUUAUUGAAAAGGUGAAAAUCCCUUUAAAAUAUAAAAAGACGAGAAGACCCUAAGAGUUUAAGUUAAAAAGAGUAUAUUUUUUAGAUUUUUGUUGGGGCAACAAAGGAGUUAUCCUCCUUUAAUAGACUAGAAAUUUAUUUUAGAAAGGAAACACUACCUUAGGGAUAACAGCACAAUCUGUAACGGGUUUGUGACCUCGAUGUUGGACUAGGAAUAGCUAUUUUCAGAAGAAAUAUGUUAAUGCUCUGUUCGAGCAAAUCUAACCU
RNAcentral lists this ribosomal RNA (423 nucleotides) under Siphonaria sp. UF 375653. RNAcentral's name for it is "partial 16S ribosomal RNA". It matches the Rfam family "Bacterial large subunit ribosomal RNA", at positions 1828 to 2601 of the family's 2925-position model. Lineage: Eukaryota; Metazoa; Mollusca; Gastropoda; Siphonariida; Siphonariidae. The record is from RNAcentral.